CCACGCGUGUUCGUUCAACCUGAAUCCAAACGGAAAACUGCGUUUCACAAGAUUCCGCCAGCAAUACGAAGUAUUCCUUCAUCGCGUCGCUCCCUUCACCAUGGUGAAAUCGAAUCGUACCUCUCUGUUCGAAUUCACCUUCAUACUGAAUCGAAACCUUCACCAUGAUUUCAGAGCCAAUACCAUGGCGGCGUGCUCCCCAAAUCUUCACCUCCGGAACUCACCAAUCACCUUCACCAAACCGAAAUCCACAUCGGCAUACAAACACGCGGCCGAGAGUUUAACGCCUUUAAAUCUCGCGUAGUAGCUUUGAAAUCAGAAAGAAGAGAAACGAAGAACCAAACUUCAAGGUCCAAUCAAUCUCAUCGAUGUUCUAUUUGGUCUUAUCAUGUACGCGCGGAAACGACAAGAGCGGAAUCAGAGUCGAGAAAACUUACUGGAUUAAUGUCUUAACCGUGAACAGCUUGCGGUUGCUGUUCUAUGAAUUGGAGGACUUAGUUGCAGGAUGGAAAAAACCAAAUGCCGAGUUCAGUUCUUGUUACAGAAUCCAGUGGAAUUCAUUUGCAGGAUCGAAUUACAGAGUUGAAAUGCAAGGUCUGAGUUUUUACUUAGUGAAGGGUGUAGAGGUUGAAGAAGAAGAUUAGAAGAUGGUGAAAAAGCAGAAGGUUGGGGAAGAACAAAGUCGGAAGGGAUUGAAGAAUUCUAACAAAAAUGGAAGAGCACGGGAUCAUGAACAGAUCGGAGGAAUCAUAGUUCGGAGAUCGGAGGAAUCAUAGUUCGGAUAUUGGAGCCAAGCAAUGGAAUGAAAACAUGACGCCAUGAGUUACGAUAAAUUGAAGCAAUUUACCGGAAUGAAGCCACGUGGAGGUUUACGAUAAAUUGAAGCAAUUUACCGGAAUGAAGCCACGUGGAGGUUCCGGUGUCGUCGUGGAGGUUCCGGUGUCGUCGAUGUCGAUCACAGAUGACUUUCUUUGUGUGCUUUCUACAAUUUCUUCUUCUUUCUUCUUCUUCUGAAUUCGUGAGCGGUAAAAAGAGACUGAGGCGGCUUAGCUCUAGCAGAAUUGAAGCUUCGAUGCAAAGCUUCAAUGGCUUCUCUGAAAGAGAAAUAGAGCUCUGGUGAGGGUGAGGGAGGAGGUUGCAAGAGAGUGAGAGUGCAGGUUCAAGCCAAAAAAUGUCAAGUCUCAAAGUGUGAGUGAUGAAUCUCUUAAAUAGAGUUGAGGUUCGGAAUUUUCUAGCUUCGGAUUUAGGUAUGAAAUUGUUAAACAUGGUUCGGGAGUUAGUUAAACUCAACUCACUGAGUUAAAUGAAAAACUCAGUUAGUUAGAAACGACACAGUUAGUUAUUUGAGUUGAUGUUGGUUAGUGAGUGAGUUAAAACUUGACUGGCUACUGCAGGUUACCGUUAGAUUGAGGUUAUAUUGGAAUGGUUUUUAAUGACCUGCUGUUUAUGUUGCAGGUCAGUGACUUUGGGUUUGGACUUAUGAAUGGCUUUGGAAUUUUUGAAUCAAGUGAGUUGGCUGCUAUUCCUGAGCUUCCUGUGACCGUUGUGGGUGCAGUACUCACAGUUACAACAGUGCUUGGUGCAACUCCUGUGGUGUUUGAAGUAACUACCGAAUUGGAAACAGGGGUACUCGAUAAACCAAAAACCAACCGUUGAUGAUCAGUGGCUAUAAUUGGUGUAAUAGAAGAUGGGCUUGAAGCAAGACCGUUAGAUGUCAAAGUGUUGGAAUUAGCUGCAUUAGCUGGUGUUGGUGUUGCAGCUGAGGAGGCAGCAGCAUUGGAUGUAUCACUUGCAUUUUCAUUACAAUACAUUUGAAAAAAGCUUUUAGGUUAUUUGAUGGAACUUGCAACCAUUAUGCCAUUGCACCUUCAAAAGCCUCCAUAUGCAUCCACUUUCCAUGGCAACAAUAGUCUUGGGCUUGCAAAAUUCAUGGCAGCAACAACCAUUCUUGACAAUGUCAGAACAUACCAAGAUCACCAUACUAGCAGAAUUGCCACCACCCUGUAUUGGCAAAGAAAAACGAGUCAUCUGCUGGGAUGACAUUUUUUUCUGCAUGUAUGCUUUCCACUUAAGAAGGGGAGCCUCACUGCAAUUCUGAGGGGAUUGCUGCAUUCUCCACUUCUCCAUUCUGCAUCCAGUUUUUCCUUCAUUCUGCAACAAGAUAGCGAUUCAGCAACACAAACUAGCGACUCAGCAACACAAGCUAGCAAUUCUGCAACACAAACUCGUAACUCUGUUUUGAUUCGAUGAGUAUUCAUCAUCUACUUCCAGUUUCUUUUAUAACUAUGCGCGCGUUCUUGUUUUUGCGAUUGGAGGUUGAACUCAUCUUGAACCCGUUGCUUCUCCGUGAGACAUAGGACUCCGAAAGCGGCACUACAAUGAGGACGCGAAUCCUCGAUGUUUACCGUGAAAGAUUCAAAGUACGGUGUCCCGGGAUGACCGUGACCGCGAGACCCGCUCGAAGUCGUUGCAAUGGUGUUCGUCGGCUCAGUUUUGUGCAGCUUGCUAGGAGGCAUUGUGAAGAAGCUGAUGUUCGUCCGUUUCUGUUAGAGUGAAUCCAAUGAAAGUGAAAAAUUAAUUAAUUGAUGGAAUGUUAGUUAUUAAGUUAGUUAGAACUGGCACCUUGAGAAGGAGUUUUGUUAGCUGAGUUAUAUUAACUUCAAAUAUUUGCCAUGAUCACCUGGUUUUGACAACAGUGCAAAUUAUUAGAUGAUGAAGAGUUAGAUAUGUUGGAUUUGGAUGGUUAACGGGAUGGACUGAAGUGAUUUGGUUUAAGUCGGAUAUGGUCUGCCGUAGGCCACGUCUCGGUUAUAGCAGAACCGUGUGCUGGUAGCAGCAUUACCUUUCUGCAGUUGUAUCUGCAGCAACAUGGCACUUUGUAGCAUGGCAAUUCUGCAGCAACAUGAUUUGUGUGACAGGUCACUUUGCAACAGCAUGACCACUGUUGCAUUUGGAAUGCUGCAGCGGUUUGGGUUGCAGCGGAGUUAGUAAUUCGGUCGUUGAUUAAUGGCUUCAACGGAGUUAGUAAUUCGGUCGUUGAUUAAUGGCUUCAACACAAUCGUACUCUUAUAUUGAGCCACAAACUCCUAAAGCGGCAAUAACUUAAGCUGGUAACCACCAUUGUAUCUUGCAUUCUGUCUGAACCAAGAAGCAGAACCAACAUGAUGUUGUCCCUAUGGGAACAAAGGGAAACGCUAAUCUGAUGUGUUUCGUACCCGUCACGGCUUAGUUGCUCGCGUUGUAUCUUAAAUAUAAAUGAAAGUGGGAUUGUGGCUGUAGUUGUAGCUUUUGAAUUUUAAUCUGAUUUGUUUUUGAGUUGAAUGGAUGGUUGUACUUGUGAAUGGGGUUAUGAUAGAAACUUUGGAUGAUAUUUGGUUAAUUGAAAAAAUGGAUUUUUACAUGGA
Molecule: long non-coding RNA, 3404 nt
Organism: Lathyrus oleraceus (garden pea)
Lineage: Eukaryota; Viridiplantae; Streptophyta; Magnoliopsida; Fabales; Fabaceae
Exons: 3
Source: RefSeq, a predicted model, not a curated record